Molecule: ribosomal RNA, 253 nt
Filed under: uncultured bacterium
Lineage: Bacteria
Description: partial 16S ribosomal RNA
Rfam family: Bacterial small subunit ribosomal RNA
Source: RNAcentral
UACGUAGGGGGCAAGCGUUGUCCGGAUUUAUUGGGCGUAAAGAGCGUGUAGGCGGCCAGAUAGGUCAGCUGUGAAAACUCGAGGCUCAACCUCGAGAUGUCGGCUGAAACCAUCUGGCUAGAGUCCGGAAGAGGAGAAUGGAAUUCCCGGUGUAGCGGUGAAAUGCGCAGAUAUCGGGAAGAACACCCGUGGCGAAGGCGGCCACCUGGACCAACAUUGACGCUGAGGCACGAAAGCGUGGGGAGCAAACAGG